UACGGAAGGCAGCAGUGGGGAAUAUUGCACAAUGGGCGAAAGCCUGGUGCAGCUAUGCCGCGUGUAUGAAGAAGGCCUUAGGGUUGUAAAGUACUUUCAUCGGGGAGGAAAAACAAAACUAAUAAUUUUAUUUCUUGACGUUACCCGAAAAAGAAGCACCGGCUAACUCCGUGCCAGCAGCCGCGGUAAUACGGAGGGUGCUAGCGUUAAUCAGAAUUACUGGGCGUAAAGAGCACGUAGGUGGUUUUUUUAAGUCAGAUGUGAAAUCCCUGGGCUUAACCUAGGAACUGCAUUUUGAAACUGAAAUACUAGAGUAUCGUAGAGGGAGGUAGAAUUCUAGGUGUAGCGGUGAAAUGCGUAGAUAUCUGGAGGAAUACCUGUGGCGAAAGCGGCCUCCUAAACGAAUACUGACACUGAGGUGCGAAAGCGUGGGGAGCAAACAGGGAUUAGAUACC
This 455-nucleotide ribosomal RNA is filed under the name uncultured bacterium. Its description in RNAcentral is "bacterial SSU rRNA". It matches the Rfam family "Bacterial small subunit ribosomal RNA", at positions 340 to 786 of the family's 1533-position model. The record is from RNAcentral.